AUUCGCGUAUCUAAUAAAAGGUACUGCCUUAAGGCAGGCGUUGUAGGGGGCUAAUACCUUCCCUACACGUAACCGAUUCCCGAACCUAGAAUCUGGUUUUUGUAGACCAAGCCUUAUCAUUUUAUGGUUUUUCCGUAGUUUUCCAGAAUAAACUAUGGUGGUGACUCCGAAACUUUUUUCAAACACAUAUCUUUUGGAUCGUCUUCCCGUCGCGAUUCCGGUUGUGACAGUAGGAGUUGCCUUCAAUAACAAUUGCUCCUUCUCUCUAUUUUCUUGCUCUUUCUUCUUUUCUUCUUCUCGCCUCUCUCUUUCUCUUCUUAUCUCUUCUUUUAUCUCUUCUUCUUUUCUCUCUUGCUCUCUUCUUUUAAUCUCUCUUUCUUUUUUCUCUUCUUCUUCUCUCUUUUCUUCUUCUCUCUUCUCUUCUCCUCUCUUCCCUAUCUUCCUCUUCUUUUCUCUCUAUCUCUCUUUCUCUUUUCUUUUCCUUGAUCACUUUAAGUUUAUGCCCAAAUUCUAAUUCUCUCCUAAGAAACCCAUGAUCACUUAAACUCUUAAGAAACAUUUUUCCAUCUUCAAUGCAAUCUCUAAUUAAUUCUAGUUUCUUUUAAUGUUUGAAGGCACAAACUUUCUUCUCAUGCAAGCUUUUAAAUCACACCAAUCACGAAUGGGAGACUUUCUACCUUUCCUAACAUAAUAUUGUCUUUCAUCUCACCACUUACUUGCAUGUCCUUCUAACUUAGAGAGAUAAAUACUAAGGACAUAAGAUUCACUCUCUCUAUAAAACCAAGGAUUUAUUUUUUCAACU
RNAcentral lists this long non-coding RNA (802 nucleotides) under Vigna radiata. RNAcentral's name for it is "long non-coding RNA (VRAD_LNC002670)". The record is from RNAcentral. Lineage: Eukaryota; Viridiplantae; Streptophyta; Magnoliopsida; Fabales; Fabaceae.